Mirounga angustirostris (Northern elephant seal) is the source of this 5248-nucleotide RNA transcript. RefSeq lists it as uncharacterized. The record is from RefSeq and is a predicted model, not a curated record. Lineage: Eukaryota; Metazoa; Chordata; Mammalia; Carnivora; Phocidae. The transcript has 6 exons.
GCAACCCCCCCCCCCCCCCCCCCCCCCCCCCCGGCCAGGCUGACUGUAGUGGUGGAAGUAGAAGUAGAGGGAGGCAGAGGAUCAGGUAAGAAGUCCUUACACAUUCAUUCUUAGAGAGAGUGCAGCCUGGGGGACCCCCUUGGGAGAGGGGAAGGAGGAGGUCAUUUUACGGCUUUAGCUGCUGCAGAUGCUGUUUGAGGAAGCUCUGCUUCUCAGGGGCUCUGAUCCUGUGCGUAGUACUCUAGGUUAGGAAACUGAGGCCAAAGUUGAGAGCAGGACCUAGGGGUCCUGGCAGUUUCCCCCAUGAGAGUUGAUAUAUAGCCCAUCUUUCUUAGGCCCUGAGGAGACCUGUUGCCCCACACUCCUUCUGGAGGGGCCCAAGAGCAUCUGCCUGCUUCAGCCAGGCACUCCAGACACUCAGCUGUUGCAGAUGCUGUUUGAGGAAGCUCUGCCCCACGGGAACCCUGAUCCUGUGCUUAUUACCCUUAGCCUGGUGCAGGGUGAUGGAAAAUGCCAGUGAGGUGGAGGUGUCCGACUCAAGAGCUGCCUUGGAGCUGUACUUGCAGGCUGCAGGGGAUGAAGGCAGGGCCUGAUCCUUCUGAGGAGCCUGGGAUCCAGGGCAUGUGGCGAGGGGCCUUGAAGAUCCUGCAGCUCCCCAGAGCCCUAGAUUGCCCCCUGCUGCAGGUGUUGGCUGGUAAGGUUAUUGGUGAGCAGGUGGAGGGUUCUCUGCCCUGGAUUGUCUCACGGCUCCUGGAAGGAAACAACUACAGCGGCCUUCUUCUUCGCCUGGACCCUCAAGGUGGCCUGGGGGGGUGGGGGGUUCUUGGCGGAAGCUCUGGGAUCUGACUUAUGCCUGACCCACCCUCUUACCAAAUCAGCUGCAGCCCCAACUGCAGUCCAGAGAAAGCCUAACCCUCUGGGAGAGCCAGGAUUCAGAAAGGUCCCAGGAUGGCUAGAUUGCCAAAGUCUGGAGAGGCAGGGCCAAUAGAAAAGCAACCCCUCACCCUUCAGAGACUUUCAACAGUUUACCAAGCAUUUUUACACUAAUGCCUUUUAUUCUUACCACAAGCCCAUGAGACAUAUCUAAGUUAGAUGAGGAAAGAGAGGGAAGCCUAAUUUAUAAAUGAGGAAAGGGAGGAUCAAAGGAGGGAAAGAACUUGCCUGUUUUCACACACUUAUUAAAAAUCAGGCCUCUGUGAAAUGGUAUGAUGUCAGAGACGUGGGGGAGUUCAAGUGGAGGGUAUAGAGCAAACAAGAAUGGUCAAGAGUUGAUAAUUAUUGAAGCUGGGUGAUAAAUAGAUGGGUUUCCUGUACUUUGUAUAUGUUUGAAAUUUUCUAUAAUAAUAAUAAUAAUAAUAAUAAAAAGCUUGGUUAUCUGUCUCCAAAACUAAUGAACACACAUUAAUUUGGCUAAUAUGCUCCCAGACCACUCACUGUGCCAGGCCCUGUGGAGUGAGGAGGAUAAAAUAGGGCAGUUCAUGCCCUCAAGGAUAAAGCAGUGAAGGAUAAAAGUGUAUUUAUCCACUGGCCAGUUUGGUAUCAUGAUUAAGGGCCCAGGCCUUAAUGUCAGACAAAACUGGACUUAAGUCAGCUCUGCUACUCACCAGGAAGUUGCUUGACUUCUCUGAGCUUCAUUUUGCUUCACCUGGGAAAUAUGGGGGUAAGACAAAUUAGAGUUGCUGCCCCAUUGGAGUGUUAUGUGGAUAAAAAAAGAGAAUCCAUGAAAAGCCUUGGCACAGUGCCAUCAAGCACAUGUAAACACGUGAUAGGCAUUAGCUAUUUUUAUAAAUAGUGCUAUUAAUAAAAAUUACAAGUAUUAUAGGCAGUGUGCUUUGGAAUCCAGAAGGAGUGAUUCACUCUGAAUCUCCCCUCACUAGGUGGCUCCCCGAGCUUGCUCUGGGCUGCUCUGUUGGGGGCCGAGGAAAGGAGGAUGCAGGUGAAACAGGUGAGGCCCACCCUGUGGGAUGCCGUAGCAGAGGCCCGGGCCUGCCGGGCUGGCCUGAAGAGCCUGCGUUCAGGCCUCCUUGGAGACAACCUGACAGACAGUGGGCUCAGCCAGUUGGGCAGGGCAUUGUGAGAAUUGCAGGUGGUAAAAGCCUGGAGCCGGCGCCCAGGAAACCGGAUGCUCAAAAGGGUAAAAGCUGAGGCUGUGGGGCUUCCAGAACUACAGGUAGGUCUUCUUGUUCAACCUCUUAGGAGCCCCAUUGACCUCCGCCUUCUUCUCCUGUUUAGAGAGCACUAUGAGGAGGCCCUUCCUUGAUUCACUAAUUUAUUGAUUCCCAGACAUUUAUUGACUUCUCACUCUGUGUUAGGCACAGUGCUAUGUAGACCCUGGGAAAUCCCUGUCCUCAUGGAGUUUAUAAUUUCUGGAAAGAAACUAUUAUAACACCAUGAUCAGUGCUCUGAAGGCCUUAUCAACACAGGGUUCUAUGGGGCGUCUAAGUUAGUCUUGGCAAGAGAAGGAGUGAACGUUUCAUGGAAGUUGAUUCCUAAAGGAGGUGGCCAGGAAAAAUGAGUGAAGAACAUUCCAGGCACGGAAGAUAACAGGCAAAGUCUCAGAAAUAAGUAAGAGCUUGAUCUCUUUGGGUGACUGCAAGCAGCUCAUUUUGCUGGAGAAUAGCUUGAGGAAGAGUCAAGAGAGAAGGAUUAAAGAGUGAAGUAGGGGCCAGGUCAUAAAGGGCUUUGUAAAUUUAUUGAGAUGUUUGGACUUCAUCUUGAAGGGGAAACCAUAGAAUUUUUUUAAGCAGAGAAGACAACAUUGCUUACAUUUUUCAGGUGAGCAAACUGAGGCUCAGAGAAGGGAUCUGAGUAUCUCAGGGUCACUGAUAUAAUCAAAGGUAGCAGAGGGGCAAACAUAUCCUAGUCUUUAGACUCAAUAUGGUACUUUUGCAUCCGUUUAGAAUGCAUGGCCUCUCCUGUGCAGAAGGGGGCACUGUCUUCCAGGAUUUGCCACAGUGUGGCUGGAACGCUGCUCCUGUCCGCCUCCUGGUCCUUCCCUUUUUGUAAUUACUGACUUGUUUUUACAGCCCUGAGUUCUGGGAAUUAGGCAUGUAAGCUCCCAGUUAUUGAGAGGUUCCUGCCACUUGUGCUUUGGGUGCCUUAUCUUUUUUUUUUUUUUUUUUUUUAAGAUUUUAUUUAUUUAUUUGACAGAGAGAGAGAGAUAGCGAGAGCAGGAACACAGGCAGGGGGAGUGGGAGAGGGAGAAGCAGGCUUCCCGCCAAGCAGGGAGCCCAAUGUGGGACUCGAUCCCAGGACUCUGGGAUCAUGACCUGAGCCGAAGGCAGACGCUUAACGACUGAGCCACCUAGGUGCCCCAGGGUGCCUCAUCUUAUUUCAUGCUCUCUACAACUUUCAUCAGCUCUAUUUUACAUGGAUUCAAAAGACUAGUCACCUGCCUGACAUCACACAGCUGAGGAGAGGAGGGGCUGGGACCCCGAUCUGCCUGAUCUUAAAGCCCUGAGCUCAGAAGGAAGGGUAUGGAAUUCUCACUCCUACUAUAUUCUUGCAGCUGAUAGGUUCAACAGCAAGCCACAGCCCAGGCUUCCAGGGAGAGCCCAAAGGUGGGUUUGGGGCUUGGGGUGGAGUCAGGUAUCUUCUCCACCUUUACUGGGCUUAACUGCAUUUUCUUCCAGUGGUAGGAAUAACAGCAUCUCUAGGAACUGGGCUCCACCAAAAUCAUCCUCUUAGGGACUCUGAGGAACAGGUAAUACCUCAUGUGCCCCAGAACAGCGGAAGAUGUUGGGGGAGUGGAGUUGCAGAGCCCUGUUAAUAUGUCUACUGCUUCCUUGCCCCAACAUCAGGGAGAAAUAUGGAGCUUCUGGCAAAAAGAAGACCCAAAAGCCUAUGUGAUUCCUAAGGGAGGGGCACGGGAAGGCUAUUUUGCUACUGGGUCACAUUAGGGGUAUAGGAUCCUUCAGGCCUCCAUGGCAGCUAUUAGCAGAGCCAAUACCUCUCCUUUCUCCCUAUGACCUCCAAGUCUCUGUCCAGGCUCCUGGCUCUUACAGGCCGGUUAGGUCCUGGACACGUUCUAGGAGCAGCUCUGGUAGUGGGGUUCUGUUGAAAAGUUGGACCCUGAGUCCCAAGGCUAUGAACACACAUGGGCUUCUGGCUGAGCCUAGACUAAUGCCACCUAGCCCUGGCAGGUCCCAGAUGUGGCCCUGCAGUUCUUCUUGGCCCAGGCACGGAGGAAAAGACUGCACGAACAGCACCAAAUAUGGAUCCAAGAGGAACUGAAGUAUUUGGAACAGGAGGAGGAGGUGACAGGUGACCAGGUCAAAGGCCUGGUGGCUGGAGAGGAGGUAAGGAGGGUCAAGUAGGGGACCUGAGGCUUCUUCUAAUUGGUCCAGGCACUGUGCCGGGCGCUGGGAUCCAGCCUCAGUCACAACAGAGUGGGCCAUACCCUCUCCUGGUCCUUACAGCUUUGUGGGGGACAGAUGAAGCCAUUUGCAGGGCUAAAGUGCUGUGAUGCAGGGAGCUAAGGGCUUGCGGGAACAGAGAGGUGUGCCGGACCCAGGCUGGAGUGGAUCACAGACGAUGGCAUUUAGCGGAGACAAAAAACCAAAUCAGCCAAAGGAAUUCACGGGACUGAGCUCUGCUUGGGCAGUCUGUACUUAUCACAUAGAGGCAGAGUACAUAUAACUCGUUUGAACAAAUUAAGAAACCAAAACUUGUGUCCAUGGGGGUUGUGGGGAUAUGUUCUGAGGACAAUACUGUAUGAGCAAAAGUCCAGAGGGAAGCAGUGGCAAAGUAGUCUGGGUAUUGCAAAUUGUCCAUCUGGUGGGCCCUGGCAGGUGCAGGUCAGAGGAGAGGCUAAAGAGACCAGUGUGUGCCAUGCCUCUGAUCUGGACUUUACCCUAAGAAUGACAGUGAACCACUGAAAGGCAUGUGUCAUCUCAGUUCUGCCCCUCACUAGCCAUGUGAAUUUGGCAAGGUUCGGUCACUUCUCUGAUCCACAGUUUCCAAAUCUAUCUACCAGAUUUGGAAAACUAAAAUGGCAACUACCUCAUAUGGUUUUCAUUUGAUAAACUGAAAUAACACACAUGAAGUGUUUAGAACAGAGCCUGGCACACAGGUGGCACUGAACAAGACUAUGUAUUAUCACUGAAGGCCUCCAAGAAGAGGCAGAGAUGGCCCCGGGAGCAGACGGUGCUGAGGCUCCAGCUGGAGGUCCUUCAGGCAGAGCAGGACACUGCGGAGCGGGACCUCGCAGCCCUCUAUGACCUGCACGUGCAGGCUGCCCAAGCUCAGA